Molecule: long non-coding RNA, 198 nt
Organism: Perca fluviatilis (European perch)
Lineage: Eukaryota; Metazoa; Chordata; Actinopteri; Perciformes; Percidae
Exons: 3
Source: RefSeq, a predicted model, not a curated record
CAUGGACUUAGUAGAGGAUUAAAUACAUACAGGCACUUGAUGACGAAAUGGCUCCAAAGAUUUGUGGUGCCACAAAUCCCCCAUCCACAAUUGAUGAUACUGAAGAGCUGACCACUGAGAGCAAGUGCAUCCAUACAGCCGUCAGCCACCCAAAUCAGACCAGUCCAGAGCUCGGCCCUCUCAUCAAGGUUGGACAGU